Molecule: unclassified non-coding RNA, 242 nt
Filed under: Basidiomycota sp.
Lineage: Eukaryota; Fungi; Basidiomycota
Description: partial contains small subunit ribosomal RNA, internal transcribed spacer 1, and 5.8S ribosomal RNA
Rfam family: Eukaryotic small subunit ribosomal RNA (bases 1-47)
Source: RNAcentral
AAAGUCGUAACAAGGUUUCCGUAGGUGAACCUGCGGAAGGAUCAUUAUUGAAAUAAACCUGAUGGGUUGUUGCUGGUUCUCUAGGGAGCAUGUGCACGCCUUGUCAUCUUUAUAUCUCCACCUGUGCACUUAUUGUAGGCCUUUUUAGGUCUAUGUUGCUUCACUUACCCCAAUGUAUGUCAAUAGAAUGUUGUGCCUAUAUAUAAUAUAUACAACUUUCAGCAACGGAUCUCUUGGCUCUC